AUAUUAUCAAUAUCUGGGAUGUCCUUAAGGACUCCCACAUAAACACCUUCCUGUGUAUUCAUCCAUGUUGCUUUCCCAGACCAGUGGCCAUUGCUGCCAGUCCAAGCCCUAACAGGUCACUGGGCUGAGGUGUUUGGGAGAGGGCUCAUUGCUAAACUAUUAUAUGAAUUGGUUGUCUGAGAAGGCCAUGUGCCGUAAACUUUAAACAUGUUAAAACUUUCAACAACGGAUCUCUUGGCUCUCGCAUCGAUGAAGAACGCAGCGAAAUGCGAUAAGUAAUGUGAAUUGCAGAAUUCAGUGAAUCAUCGAAUCUUUGAACGCACAUUGCGCCCUUUGGUAUUCCUUAGGGCAUGCCUGUUCGAGCGUCACUAACAACUACCUCACGUGAAAAUGUGGUAUUGGCCGAAGUGGAUCGUACUUGCAGUGCAGGUCUCACUUGGCUGAAAUCAAUGGGCCGGAGAAGUGGACCACAGCGACAGACUCUCAGA
Molecule: unclassified non-coding RNA, 488 nt
Filed under: Tuber sp. 13 KA-2010
Lineage: Eukaryota; Fungi; Ascomycota; Pezizomycetes; Pezizales; Tuberaceae
Description: partial contains ITS1, 5.8S rRNA, ITS2 and 28S rRNA
Rfam family: 5.8S ribosomal RNA (bases 215-368)
Source: RNAcentral